CAGGAUGGCUUUAUGGGGAGUGUAUCAGACACCACCUUGCACCAUCCAGGAGGCCUGAAAUGUCUGAGUGCUCUAUUUUAGUGAUGUUAAGAUCGCUCAGCUGAUGUCACCCCAAUCCUUCCAUUCAACUUCUGCGUGACAGGAUUUCAACACUGAGGGAAGCCACUCUGAGUUUAUGAUCCCUGCCUAGAUUUUCUCAUCUGUUCAAGGGAAGAAACAGGACCAAGGAUGUUUAAUGAUUUGCUCAAUAUCAUUUGUUUGUCAACAAAUAUUUAUCAAGCCCUCCUCCCCCCCUGGAAGAAUCCACUGCUCUUUCUAUGUAAAAUUUCAUCACUGCUCCCCAGGUUUCCAUGUGGCUCAGUUCUUAAAGAACUUGGUAACUAUGAAAGCUGCCUGGAGCAGACCACAAGCCUCGGGAGGGUAGGGAUCUCUAUUUAUUCUUCACAGAACUCCUGGACAGAGCAUAGUUCCUGGCACAGAAUAGGCAGCUGAUAAAGGAAGAAUGAAUGAAUGAAAUGUUUGCUUAAUUAAUCUAAUCAAAAUAUGCAUGAACUUUUGGGGCACCUUUCCAAACAUAUGUUUCUCCAUCUUCUUUACAAAUAUACCUCUUCACAAAAGAAUUCCCAGAUAGUUCUUAUCAGGUUCUGUCCAUGAUUCCAUCCCAAUAUGAAUCUUAGAUAUUCGUAAAGAUUGGUGUGAUCUUUUGCCAAGUGCUUUUUCUGACAGAUCUCACAAGGAGUCGAGGACUGGCUUUAAUUUCCCCCAAAAGUUUUGAAGUAUCUCACCUGGAUGCUCUGUUGCCCUUCUCCAAUUUCCAGAGAGCAGCCAGGGUGAAAUUUUUCAAGUGCCAUUCUGGUCAUGCCAUCCCACCACUGAAAAGCCUCCAAUGUUCUUUCAUGGUGCUUAGAACACAGCCCAGACUCCUGGCUGGGCCCCUCGAGUUCCUGCCCAUCUUGCCUCAUGGCCAUCAUCUCUCUCCAGCCUCAUCUCUUAGCCUUCCUUAGCCCACACUGGCCUCCAUUCAUUCUGCUGAGCCCAGAACAUGCAGCCCAGACCCACUCAAGGCCCUUGCACCUGCUUCUUCCUCUGCCUGGCCUGCUCCUUUGCAGCUCUUCCUGAGGACAGUUAUCUUCCCCCUUUGGCUCUCUGAUCCUACUUAGGAUGGACCUCCUCUCCUUCCUGUCUAUUCCAUAACCCUGGGUAUUUGCAUCAUAACACUGUCACUGGCUAUACUGAUCUUAGCUGUUUACUUUUCCCUCUUUAUUAUCCCCAUUCUCCACUAGAAUAGAAUCUCCAUGAAGACAAUGCAUUUAUCAUAUUCACUACUCUAGUCUCAACAACCAGCACAGUGCUUGGAACAGAAAAUGAGCUUGAUAACUAUUUAUUGGGCAAAUGAAUCAAGGCAAACCAUUAAAAGCCUGUGAAUACAGAGUGCCUGAAUCCUUGAUCAGCCUGCCUGCUCCCCUCAACCUGGUCCUUACACCCCCGCACAUAGCUAAGCCUUUUGACACACUAUAGCUCAACUUGGCCACAGUCUCUGGGAAAGGUUGAAGUAGCCCUGAUUUGCUUAGAUCUCACAUCAAAUUCCCUUAAUGUUAGGCCUUCUCCCACCUUGGACCCAAGAUCUAACUCCCAAGAUUGUUGUUUAUUCUUGGACCUAAACAUUCAUAUCAUUUCUGAGGUCAUACACAGACUCUGCCUUGUUUUCCCUGCUUCUCUGUCUGCCUCAUCCCUCGUCACUCCCCUCCCACCCUACAAGUUAGAGCUGUGGUCCUUAGGCCAGGCCCUGUGCUGGAGCCAUGCUGCUGCUGCUGACCUGGUGGGCCUCUUCUGGAUGUGUCCCCAUGUCUCCCAUCAAAGUCUUUCCUAUCCCCCUCCCCACAACCUUUGUCCAAAGCAGCCAACUGCCAGAAGAUGGGCCAAUGUUAAAGGCUGUCACACAGAGCAAGCAAAUGUGGCCUGCCCCUCCUCCUCAGAACCGGGAAGGGUUCCCCAAGAUCUUGAAAAGGAAGAGGAAGUGGUCUGUUGCUCUCAUAAGCACUUCAAAUGAAAAGAAAUGUCAGCUAUAUCCUUUUUUUAGAUUUCACAUAUGAGUGAUAUCAUAUGAUGUUUGUCUCUCACUAACUUCAUUUAGUAUGAUAAUCUCUAGGUCCAUCCCUGUUGUUUCAAAUGGCAUUAUUUAAUUCUUUUUUAUGCUGAGUAAUAUUCCAUUGUAUGUAUUACCAUGUCUUAUUAUCCAUUCCUCUGUCAAUGGACAUUUAGGUUGCUUCCACUUCUUGGCAACUGUAAAUAGCACUGCUAUGAACAUUGGAUGCAUGUAUCUUUUUGUAUUAUAGUUUUCUUUGAAUACAGUUUUCUUUCUUUUCCCAGGAUUGGGCUUGCUAGAUCAUGUAGUGAAUUUAUUUGCAGAACGGAAACAAACUUAGAGACUUUGAAAACAAACUUAUGGUUACCAAAGGGGACAGGUAGGGGUGGGGGAAUAAACGAGCAGUUUGGGAUCAGCACAUGCACACUGUGGUACAUGGAAUGACUGGCAACAGGGACCCGCUGUGUAGCACAGGGAACUAUACCCAGUAUUUUGUGAUAAUCUAUGUGGGAGAAGAAUCGGAAAAAGAAAGGAGGUGUAUAUAUGUAUCAAUAAAUCACUUUUUUUUGGAAGGAAGAAAUGAUCACAACAUUGUAAAUCAACUAUGCUUCAGUAAAACGUUUUUAAAAGUUCAGAAAAAAGACAUUUUAGAUUCGAACUAUUAAGUUGAACCACACGAAAUCGCCAGUUUGCUACCUACCAAAAAUAGAAGGUUUAUAUCACUCAGCCACAACAUCUCUUGGCCUGCUUCUCCCACUCAGACAUGGCACACAAAACUAUUGUCAGCUGUCUUGGACUAAUCUGGAGUGAAGAAAAUAUGGAUCAUAAUUAAAGGGUGAAGUCCAGGUCCAAAUUCUAUGGAAGGGAAAGCCUUCCCAACCUGUGUGCUACUGCUUAGGAUACUUGAAACCAAAGGAUAAGGAGGGAAUAUUGGUUAAUCACUCACUCCCUCAGCACAAGUGCAUUCAGGCCCUACUGUAUACUAGGCAUUAUGCCUUUAACCUAACAUUCUCUUUACACUUUAAGUUUAGUCCCAGCCUUGCUCUUCCUUUUGAGGAAGGCCUUUGGGUUAUGACAGAAAUAGCACUGGUUUAGAGUCCAAAAAACCAUGGUUCAGCUCCUAGGUGUGUUCUUAAUUAGCCUGAUAACCAUGGGGGGAAUUUCAGACCCUCUCUGAGUUUUCAGCUUCCUCAUUGAUAAAUGGGUCUUAAAAAACCCCACACUGUACAUUCAGGAUGAAAUAAGUUGAUCCACAUGGCAAAUACACUUACUAUGGGCAAGUUCCCUUCACUCCUCCUUUUUUCAUAAACACUUGAUUUGUUCUCAAGUUUCCUCAGAGAAGCUAUGACCCCUGGUUUAAAUAGGUUUGUUCAAGUUGGAGCAGACACAUAUUGGUUAAUCACUCAUAUUAAGUGAGAUAAAAGUCUGGGGCAAGGUUCAUAGACACCAGGUUAAGAAUUCCUGGUGGAAGUUUAGGCAAUUCAAUACUCAGAGGAUGUGCCUGAUCCCAAAUGAUCAAUGUCUCUGUUUGCAUUCUUGUUCUAUUUUCAGAUGUUUUAUAAACACAGCAAUAUCAAAGAGCAAUAUCAGAGUUCUGCUGUCACACUGGACUUUGUCACUGCCCAGAGCCCUUGGCCAGUGUUUUCACUGAUCAUGACUAAUUGUUGGCAAAGCUGCAAGGAGAAGUCAUUCUCAUAUCCUGCUGGGGGAAGUGUAAAUUGAGAACACCUUUUGGAAGACAAUUUGACAGUCCAAUUAAGAACCCAGAAAUGUAUAUAAAUUAUAUAUUAUAAGUUCACCAUUAAGACUAUCUUGUGAGAAAGUAAUUCAUCAGAUGUUUGUUUAUAAAAUUUGGGGGGGGGAUCCUCAAUAUCCAAUCAGAGGCUUAAUUAGAUCAAGUACAGCUACCCAUAAAAUGGAAUACAAUUGGACCAUCAGAAAUAUAUGAUAAAAUGAGAAAGUGUCAUCCAUUGCUAAGUUAAUAAAUCUGAUUAUAAAGCAUGGUAGUAAUUUUUUUAACCAAAUACACCAAAAGUUCAACAGUGGUUGUGUCUAUGUGGAAAGAUUAUUGGUGAGUUUUGUCAUCCUCUGUGUUUUCCAUAUUUUCCAAAUUUUCUGCAAUCUAUGUGAAAUACUUAAAAUACUUUGAAAAUUAGAGGAUGGAGGAAAGGAUGCAUCUUUUUGUUUCUAAGUAGUUAAUUCUAAGUAGUUAACAACUCUUUAAGUAGUACUUUACCAGAUGGGAACAGAGCAGGGAGCAGGAAAUUCUGAGGAUGAUGGAGACACGAAUGGUCACUGUUAUAUCAUGGUUAUGAAAGAUUUAGGGACCAACCUUGUUUCUAUUUCCAUGUUCUGUAUUAGUACAUGUUUAAAGGAUGCUGAUGUGAGUUCUCCAGGCUACAUAUAAAAAAAUUGCCUUGGCCAGUUGCAUUCAACUCAGGGAAUAAUACAAUGGAAUGUCAGGGCAGGCAGGAAUCUUAGAAAUCAAUUCGUUUUACUCCAUUUCUUAGAUGAGGCCUCAGAGCUCAGAGGAGCCAAGUGAUUCAUCUUAGGCUGAAGAACUAGUCAUGGCCUUAUACAUGGCACUAUUUAGCAAGUAUAUUGGGGUUCAUAUGAUGAAUAGGGGAAGAUUAUCAUAGAUUAGAAAGACCCUUUACAAACCUAUCCAUUUGGAAUAAGGUGGGAUAUAAAAAACAGGAACAAGACAAGAAGAAAAAUGUGUUCGCCAGCAUUCCACUUGAGGAGAGCACAGUGUUUGUUUCAAGGAAUGUUAUGAUAAGCUUACUUGGACUAGAAACUGAGGCCUUGGGGCCAUGAAAUGGCUAAACUGUAUUUCUUCCUGAAAAAGGGAAGGAUGGAGGGAGUUCCCAUUGUGGCUCAGUGGGAACAAAUCCGACAAGUAUCCAUGAGGAUGUGGGUUUGAUCCCUGGCCUCGCAUCCGGCAUUGCCAUGAGCUGUGGUGUAGGUGGCAGAUGAGGCUCAGAUCCUAUGUUUCUGUGACUAUGGCAUAGGUCGGCAGCCACAGCUCCAAUUCAACUCCUAGCCUAGGAACUUCCAUAUGCCACAGGCGUGGCCCUAAAAAGAAAAAAAGGGGGGGGGGACGGGGGAAGGAUGGAAAAAGAGGAAAGAGAUGAGGAAUACUGGUCAUUAAAUAAUGGUGAAUAGAUGGUUUUAUGUGAAUUGUAUGAAACAUCUGAUUUCUGUAUCCAAGUUGGGGCAACCAAUAGGCUGACUUCUCCCAACCAGUCCUAGUUUGCUUGAGGCAUUCCCACUUUUAU
RNAcentral lists this long non-coding RNA (5364 nucleotides) under Sus scrofa (pig). RNAcentral's name for it is "lncRNA (ENSSSCG00000056232.1)". The record is from RNAcentral. Lineage: Eukaryota; Metazoa; Chordata; Mammalia; Artiodactyla; Suidae.